UCCGCACGCAAACCCAAAGGUCGUUAACUCGACACGUGUGAUGACCUACGCUACACGUGCGCAGAGAAACCAGAACCUCGUCGCCUUUUAUUGGCUCCUCGUGCCAGUAGAUGUGAAAUUGAGGUCCGACAUUC
Small nucleolar RNA from Ictalurus punctatus (channel catfish), 134 nucleotides. Ensembl annotates it as Small nucleolar RNA SNORA68. The record is from Ensembl. NCBI's taxonomy places the organism in Eukaryota, Metazoa, Chordata, Actinopteri, Siluriformes, Ictaluridae.